CUCGAGAUGACCAGCUCUUCAUCACCAUCCUCAUCAUGAAGCUCCCCUUCGACAAGCUCUUCACCAAUACAGACCCUUCAAUCUCACACCGCAUCAGCUUCGUCAACCUUCCGGAGUCACACAUCGACACACAGGGCCUUGCCUUCACCUCCUUCAUCAAAACAUUCGUCCAAGGCCACAAAACCCACGUCAAAGACGCCGUCACAAAGUUACUCUCUGAGUCCGCUCAGGCCGAGCUUGCCGGGUUUGUCAUCGACAUGUUCUGCACCCCCAUGAUCAACGUGGCGGACGAAUUCCAGAUUCCUUCCUACGUCUUCUUCACCUCCGGCGCAGCCACUCUAGGGUUCUGGUUCCACCUCCAGUCACUUCAUGAUGAGCAGGGGAAGGACGUUGCUGAGAUAAUUGGGUGGGAAUCUGAGUCGAUCGUCCCGAGUUUCAUCAACCCCGUGCCCGCUGGAGUCUGGCCGAGAGUGACGCGAACGAAGGAAGGCGCUACAGACUUCAUCGAUUUUGCAGCGAGGUUUAGACAAACCAAGGGUAUUUUGAUAAACACUUUCAGGGAGCUGGAACCACAUGCUCUUCGUUCUCUUUCUGAUGGUAAAUUCCCACCGGUGUACCCUGUGGGGCCCCUGUUGAAUAUGAAGAGUGAUGAUGGCCACGUUGGCUCGGACCAGUCCAUUCAGAAGUCUGAUAUCUUGGAGUGGCUUGAUGAUCAGCCUCCUUCCUCGGUGGUGUUCCUGUGCUUUGGGAGCAUGGGAAGCUUUAGUGAGGCGCAGGUGAAGGAGAUAGCGUGUGCGCUGGAGCAAAGCGGGCAGCGGUUCUUGUGGUCCCUACGGAAACCCGAGCCAAAAGGCAAGAUGGGGAUGCCGACCGAUUAUGCGGAUGUCAAGGGAGUCUUGCCUGAAGGGUUUCUUGAUCGGACGGCUGGGAUAGGGAAGGUCAUAGGAUGGGCUCCACAAGUGGCCAUUUUGGCCCACCCGGGGGUCGGAGGGUUUGUGUCCCAUUGUGGGUGGAAUUCUACGCUGGAGAGCAUAUGGUGUGGUGUGCCGGUUGCCACGUGGCCAUUGUACGCAGAACAACAACUAAAUGCGUUUGAGCUGGUUAAGGAGUUGGGAUUGGGUGUGGAAAUUAAGGUAGAUUAUAAUCAGGACAGUGAAGUGGUGGUGAGUGCAGAGGAGAUAGAGAGAGGGAUAAGGCAAGUGAUGGAGAAGGACAGUGAUUUAAGAGCGAGGGUGAAGGAAAUUAGUGAAAAGAGCAAGAAGGCUUUGUCGGAUGGUGGUUCUUCAUAUUCUUCCUUGGGACGUUUUCUUGACCAGAUUUAAGUUUAGAUUCGUUAAAGCUCAAGAUGAUGCAUAGAAACCACAGUUGUUAAUUUUCAUAGGAGAUUUGAUGAGCAAAUAUUUUCUCCGUUUGUUUUACGUAUCGUAGUUCCUAAUAAUGAAGUGUUUUCUGUUAUGUGAUUGGCCCCUUUUUAAAAUCUGAGGAUAUUGUCAACAUGAUAAUGAUGAUGAUGAUGAUGAUGAUGACGAUGAUGAAGUAUUUGUUGGUUAGAUUGCCCCGAAAGCCAUUACGAUGAAAACGAUGGAUUUGCCGAUUUCUUAAUUGUCUUUUUCAUCAAUUCAAUGCAUGUUCAACUUUCCACUAUAAAACAAAGGAAAAUGCUAGGCAGACCAACUUUAGAUACCAACUUGUGUACCAACUCUCUAAUAGAGUCUGUGACCCAUUGUAUUGGUGGGUUCCACCUCUAUUAGAGAGUUGGUACACAAGUUGGUAUCUAAAGUUGGUCUCCCUAGCAUAACCCUAAAACAAAAUAUCAAAGUUUGACCUCUCUUUUUGACAAGUCUAAACUCCGAAAUUCAUCACAUAUUUUCCAAACGUAAAUAAUUAUAAUAUCAAUUUUUUCAACUCACAAGAUUUGUAUAAAAUAAAUCGUUAGACUUUAUACAACCCAUCACAAAAAUGCCAGCAAAGGCAUGACAUCAUAUCAAUUGAUCAACCAGAUAUAUAUAUAUAUAUAUAUAUAUAUAAGCAAGUUUAUCAGCUGAGCUUUUCAUUGCCAUCAUCUUUCUUCAUCUCCACAAAUGAAGAGACCAGCAGAACUUGUGUUCAUCCCAGCCGCAGGCAUUGGCCAUGUUAUGUCCACAAUUGAGAUAGCAAAGCUCUUAGUUUCUCGUGAUGACCGUCUCUUCAUCACACUUCUCAUCAUGAAACGACCCUUUGACAAACUCUUCACAAACACAGACUCUUCAAUCUCACCAUGCAUCAACUUCGUCAACCUCCCCGACCCCGAAACAACAGAUCUCUCUUGCUUCAAAUUCUUCGUCGAAAAUCAGAAGACCCAAGUCAGAGAUGCCGUCGCUAAACUCGUUGAGUCAAAUCAGUCUGGCUCCUCAAAGCCCCGGCUCGCCGGGUUCGUGGUUGACAUGUUCUGCACCACCAUGAUUGACGUGGCCAAUGAGUUUGAGGUACCUUCUUACGUGUUCUUCACCUCCAGUGCUGCAUGUCUCGGCCUUUUGUUCCACCUCCAGACGCUUCGGGACGAGCAUGGCAAGGAUGUGACUGAGUUUAUGCACUCGGAUUCUGACUUGGUCGUCCCGAGUUUUGUCAAUCCUCUGCCUGCUAGCGUCUUGCCUGGUAAGCUACUGGACAAGGAGAGUGCUGAAUCAUUCCUCAACUAUGCCAGGAGGUUUAGAGAAACCAAGGGUAUUUUGGUAAAUACAUUCUGGGAGCUGGAAUCGCAUGCCCUUCAUUCUAUUUCUUAUGGUAAAAACCCACCAGUGUACCCUGUGGGACCCUUAUUGAACAUCAAGAGUAGUGAGGAUGAUAAGGUUUGGGAUAUCUUGAGUUGGCUUCAUGAUCAACCACCGUUGUCCGUAGUUUUCCUCUGCUUUGGGAGCAUGGGAAGCUUCGGUGAGGCCCAAGUGAAGGAGAUAGCAUAUGCGCUAGAGCACACCGGGCCCCGGUUCUUGUGGUCCCUACGCCAGCCCCCACCGAAAGGGAAGAUGGCUAUGCCAAGCGAUUAUGCGGACACUAGUGCAGUCUUACCCGAAGGGUUUCUUGAUCGAACGGCUAAAAUUGGGAAGGUCAUAGGGUGGGCCCCACAAGUGGACAUUUUGGCCCACUCGUCAAUCGGAGGGUUCGUAUCCCAUUGUGGAUGGAAUUCCACGCUGGAGAGCUUGUGGUACGGUGUUCCGGUGGCCACGUGGCCAAUGUAUGCGGAGCAACAAACAAAUGCCUUUGAGCUGGUAAAAGAAUUGGGAUUGGCUGUGGAGAUCAAGAUGGAUUAUAGGAAGGACAGUGAGGUGGUUGUGGGUGCACAAGACAUAGAGAGAGCAAUAAGACAAGUGAUGGAGCAUGAUAGUGUUAUAAGGAAGAGGGUGAAGGAAAUGAGUGAAAAGAGCAAAAAAUCCCUGAUGAAUGGUGGAUCCUCAUACUCUUCAUUGGGUCGUUUUAUUGAUCAGAUUUAACAUUUGAUUCAUCAAAACUUAAAAUCAUUUGUAGUGGUACGAUAUAACACGUGAAUUAGGAACACUAAUGGCUAUAUAAUAAAUUUGCAUAUGUAAACUUACAGUCUUUUUUAUAAUAACAAGGGGGAAAUGAAAUUCCAACAAAGGCUUUAAUAUCUCUAAGGUUAUGAAAUUAAGAAGGGGUGAGGUCCAAUAAAUAUGAAAGAUGAACAAAGCCGCCCGAGCACUUGGCCAAGAAAGCAAAAUAAACUGUAAUCUCAGUUACUGAUGAGGGUUGGGGUUCGAGUAUAGGUCACCAACCAUAUACACAAGUACCGAAAUCUAAAACUAGUACAAACCCACAUAUAUCGUAACAAAUCUAUGUCACAAAUAAACUAUUUCAUUAAUCAUCAACAUCCACUCCCUUACAACUAUUACAUUAGCCUUAUUUAUAGCCUUAUUUAUAGUCAUUAAUCAUCAACAUCCACUCUCUUAAACACCAUUUGUCCCUCUAACUUAGGCAUUAGAGUGGAAUUGGCUGGUACUACACCAGUGCUUCUUGAUCAUUUGCUUUCAAAGUUGUGCAGAACACCUGGGCCCAAGAAGAAAGCCCAUCCAUACAAAUUCAACUUGGACUCACAUUCGAUCUUGGCCCAAUCAAGGUCCUAGUGGACCACCGGAUUCAACACAAGUCAACAACAAUGAUAUAAGAAAGAGGAUGGAAAAAAUGAGUAGUGACAAUAGCCAGAAAGCCUUGGGGGAUGGUUCCUCCUUGGGGUUUAUCGAUCAUAUUUAACUAAUUCUGAUUUAGCAAAGCUCAAGAUCAUUUAAAUGUUUGGCUUUUUUAAACAAGUUUUAUAAAACUUAGUAAAAUCAAGGAACAAAAUAUUGAUAAUAUUGACGAAAUAUCGUCGAUAUUAUCGUCUUUUUGGGUCUAGAAUAUUUUGGAACAUAUUCAUACACAUAUCGUAUAAUUAUAAACAAUAUCGACGAUAAUAUCAAGAAAUAUUGACGUCAAUAAUUUCUCACCUGCUUCAACAAUAUUUUGUCAAAAUAUCGCGAUAGCAUGCAAUGGACAAAAAGGAAAAAAAGAACAAAAACAAAAACAAACAAAAAAAACCCCACAGCACACACGCAAAUGGGGGAAUUGAACCCCUUCCAUUCUACUCCUCCAGCGCCUUAAUCACCAUGUUGCUUCAACGUUAACCAAUCUGAGAUCCAUAUGGGUGGGUUUUAUUCUAUUUUUACUGAUAUUGAUAGUUUCCCAAUAUUUCCAUUGAAAUUUCAGUGUUUUUGAACCACCGAUAUUUCCGAAACCAUCCAUAUUUUAGACUUUGAUUAUAACCAACUAGAUAUUGAGCAGGAGUAUACUUCUUUUUAUAGUAAACAUGAGGUAUAUGAAGAACACAGCUUCGGCCGAGUUGGAAACAUAUUGUAUUCUCAAUUAUAUAUAGAUAAAUUAACAUGAAAUAUGAGCCAUUCAAGAUAUAAUUUUGAUUUCGUCAUUUUUGUGAGGACGAUUAUAUGUGCCUCUUGUAGAACGAUGUUAAAAUAGGUGAAGCCACUCAACUUAUCAUGAACAUAAACUUCUUACCAUGUAACUAGGAGCUUCUACAUUUAUAUCAAUAGCAGUGUGAUAUGUAUGUAUAAGUGGGUUUUUUUUUUUUUUUUGAUAAAUUAGUUUUACAGAUGUGACAAAUUAUAAUUUACAUAAAGGAGAAGUAUUUCCUUAUAUGAAAAGAAGCCAGCAGUAUCCUUAAUUAACAAAUAAAAUAAAAUGACUUGUCUUCUUAAUUGUUAUGACUGAAAAAACUAACAAAUUAUAUGCAUAUAUCAUUGACUUGACAUAUUCAAUGCAUUCUACUACGACUAGUUGGACCAAAAUCAAUUUUUGAUUACCUUUUGUUGUCCUUUUUGUUUUGGAUUUCCGAGUCUAUUACCUAGUGGACUUAAUAAUGGACAACAUCCAAUAUUUUCCGGAUCACAAGAAUUAUAUAACUGAAAAUCUUGACUUCAUAGACAAUCCCACGUACAAGCCCCAGCCAUUGGCCUGGAUAAUUAAAUUCCAAAAAUAAACAAUAACAAUGUGCAAGAAAUACCACUGCCAGCCAUGCACAUGACAUGUGAUGUGUAAAAUUAUGUACAUAUAUACUAAGUUUUAUCGGCUGAGGUUUUCAUUGCAUUCAACACAAAAUGAGGAGACUUGUCUUGAUAAUGGACAAUAUUCAAUAUUUUUCGGAUCACAAGAUUUAUAUAACUCAAAAUCUUUACUUCAUAGACAAUCCCACGUACAAGCCUAGCCAUUGGCCUAGAUAAUUAAAACAAAAACGCUCUUGUUGCUGCUGCACUCACCUUCAAAACUUAAUUCAAGUGAACCAAGUUCCUAUAUUCAUCAUGUAAUUAAGCUUCUCUCAAUUUCUUAAUGCUUUUAUUUUUGGAGUUUAUGAAGUAUCAAUUAGGAGGAUUUGCAAUUGACACUAUCGAAUUAUCAAUUAGGAUUUGCAAUUAGGGCAUCUGUUUCAAUUUAUGAGUUAUGAAUUAUCAAAUAGGAUUUGUAAUUGAUUUUAUUGUUCUUGCUGUAAUUUUUUUAUUUUUUUGUUAUCAAUGAAAUCACAUGGUAUUGUUGAGUUUUCAAUCUACUUAAUACCUAAAUUUAGCUCAAUCCAUUUUAAAACAUGGGUUCGUCCCUGAGUCCACGACGACUUGUCGAACCAAAACCAAUUACGAUGACUUUUGUUUUGGUUUGGUUUCCAAGUAAUUAAGUUUAUCAAAUUUUCAAAGUCACAAGAUUAAUGUAAAAGACAAUCUUAACUAAACAAAUGCCAGUAAAGGCAUGACGUCACCUAGCAAAAAUGACAAAGGGAGUAGUCAAAGCAAUGUUAGAAACACCACCGUGAACAUGCACAUGACAUGCUAUAUAUAAAGAUGUUUCAUGAGUUGAGUUUUUCAUCAAAUAUUUAUUAUUUCUUCAUCUCCCAAAAUUAAUCAAAUAAUGAAGAGACCAGCACAACUUGUGUUCAUCCCAGCCCCAGGCGUUGGCCACAUCGUGUCAACGAUCGAGAUCGCAAAGCAACUCGUUGCUCGAGAUGACCAGCUCUUCAUCACCAUCCUCAUUAUGAAGCUCCCCUUCGACAAGCUCUUCACCAAUACAGACCCUUCGAUCUCACACCGCAUCAGCUUCGUCAACCUCCCGGAGUCCCACAUCGACACACAGGGCCUUGCCUUCACCUCCUUCAUCAAAACAUUCGUCCAAGGCCACAAAACCCACGUCAAAGAAGCCGUCACAAAGUUACUCGCUGAGUCCGCUCAGGCCGAGCUUGCUGGGUUUGUCAUCGACAUGUUCU
RNAcentral lists this long non-coding RNA (6790 nucleotides) under Prunus persica (peach). RNAcentral describes it as "long non-coding RNA (PPER_LNC003780)". The record is from RNAcentral. Lineage: Eukaryota; Viridiplantae; Streptophyta; Magnoliopsida; Rosales; Rosaceae.